This 264-nucleotide ribosomal RNA is filed under the name uncultured bacterium. RNAcentral's name for it is "partial 16S ribosomal RNA". It matches the Rfam family "Bacterial small subunit ribosomal RNA", at positions 90 to 354 of the family's 1533-position model. The record is from RNAcentral.
UUCGAGUGGCGGACGGGUGAGUAACGCGUGGGUAACCUGCCUUACACAGGGGGAUAACACCUGGAAACAGGUGCUAAUACCGCAUAAGCGCACAGGGCCGCAUGGCCCGGUGUGAAAAACUCCGGUGGUGUAAGAUGGACCCGCGUCUGAUUAGCUUGUUGGCGGGGUAGGGGCUCACCAAGGCGACGAUCAGUAGCCGGCCUGAGAGGGUGGACGGCCACAUUGGGACUGAGACACGGCCCAAACUCCUACGGAAGGCAGCAG